UCCCUGGUGGCUCAGAGGUUAAAGCAUCUGCCUGCAAUGCGGGAGACCCAGGUUUGAUUUCUGGUUCAGGAA
RNAcentral lists this transfer RNA (72 nucleotides) under Bos taurus (domestic cattle). It matches the Rfam family "tRNA". Rfam says of the family: Transfer RNA (tRNA) molecules are approximately 80 nucleotides in length. Lineage: Eukaryota; Metazoa; Chordata; Mammalia; Artiodactyla; Bovidae. The record is from Rfam by way of RNAcentral. RNAcentral also lists the same sequence under 2 other names.